This 237-nucleotide unclassified non-coding RNA is filed under the name plant metagenome. RNAcentral describes it as "partial contains small subunit ribosomal RNA, internal transcribed spacer 1, and 5.8S ribosomal RNA". The record is from RNAcentral.
UCUCCGAUGGUGAACCAGCGGAGGGAUCAUUACCGAGUUUACAACUCCCAAACCCCAUGUGAACCUUACCAAACGUUGCUUCGGCGGGAUGCCCCGGGCGCGGGCCGCAAGGCCUCAGCCCCGGAACCAGGCGCCCGCCGGAGGCCCAAACCAAACUCUUGUUUUUGUAGAAUCUUCUGAGUGGCCUUUUAGGCAAAAAAUGAAUCAAAACUUUCAACAACGGAUCUCUUGGUUCUG